This 253-nucleotide ribosomal RNA is filed under the name uncultured bacterium. Its description in RNAcentral is "partial 16S ribosomal RNA". It matches the Rfam family "Bacterial small subunit ribosomal RNA", at positions 524 to 776 of the family's 1533-position model. The record is from RNAcentral.
UACGUAGGGUGCAAGCGUUAAUCGGAAUUACUGGGCGUAAAGCGUGCGCAGGCGGUUUUGUAAGCCAGAUGUGAAAUCCCCGGGCUUAACCUGGGAAUGGCAUUUGGGACUGCAAGGCUUAAGUGCGGCAGAGGAGACUGGAAUUCCUGGUGUAGCAGUGAAAUGCGUAGAUAUCAGGAGGAACACCGAUGGCGAAGGCAGGUCUCUGGGCUGACACUGACGCUCAUGCACGAAAGCGUGGGGAGCAAACAGG